Sorghum bicolor (sorghum) is the source of this 473-nucleotide long non-coding RNA. RefSeq lists it as uncharacterized. The record is from RefSeq and is a predicted model, not a curated record. Lineage: Eukaryota; Viridiplantae; Streptophyta; Magnoliopsida; Poales; Poaceae. The transcript is spliced from 2 exons.
UGGCGUCAAAGAGGAUCCUAAAAGAGUUGAUGGACCUGAAGAAGGACCCUCCCACCUCCUGAUUCGCUCUCUAGCUCUAUGGGUUGUAGUAUUUUGAGAUGAAACACUGUAUCUAUAUCUCUAUCAGUAACAUUGAGUUGUAUGCUAGAUAAUUUUUUUGUUGACACGGUGAUGUGCUAGAAAGCUCCAGGCGGUUCGCACGACAGAAAGGAAUUCUGAAGCUUAGCAUGGAACCAUGAUGGGAGGAAUUCUGAAGCUUAGUGUGCUGUUAAUGAAGUAAAGGAGCAGGUCCUAUAUCAUAUUUGCUUAUGAGCGAAUCAUUCUUGGGAUCAUAUUUUAUGUCUACUUAUUGCACGAUGUGGUGCUUGAUGUAACUUUGUAUCUCAUCUUAUUUGACAUUUUGUAAACGAGAUAUUAUGUGUUGUUAGACUGAGCUUAUGCAAUUGAAAAUAAGUUGGUUGUAUGUGCUACAA